Molecule: unclassified non-coding RNA, 343 nt
Filed under: soil metagenome
Description: partial contains 5.8S ribosomal RNA, internal transcribed spacer 2, and large subunit ribosomal RNA
Rfam family: 5.8S ribosomal RNA (bases 1-120)
Source: RNAcentral
GAUGAAGAACGCAGCGAAAUGCGAUAAGUAAUGCGAAUUGCAGAAUCCGUGAGUCAUCGAAUCUUUGAACGCACAUUGCGCCCCUUGGUUAUUCCGAAGGGCAUGCCUGUUCGAGCGUCAUUAUCACCCCUCAAGCCCCGGCUUGGUGUUGGGCGUCUUGUCUCUAGCUUUGCUGGAGACUCGCCUUAAAGUAAUUGGCAGCCGGCCUACUGGUUUCGGAGCGCAGCACAAGUCGCACUCUCUAUCAGCAAAGGUCUAGCAUCCAUUAAGCCUUUUUUUCAACUUUUGACCUCGGAUCAGGUAGGGAUACCCGCUGAACUUAAGCAUAUCAAUAAGCGGAGGA